This 290-nucleotide long non-coding RNA is filed under the name Sorghum bicolor (sorghum). RNAcentral's name for it is "long non-coding RNA (SBIC_LNC007181)". Lineage: Eukaryota; Viridiplantae; Streptophyta; Magnoliopsida; Poales; Poaceae. The record is from RNAcentral.
GCUGUUCACAUGGCCAUGCCUCCACAGACCACCUCUGGCCAAGUAGAGGGAACCAGAGGGUGUGCGUGAGUCCAGGUGAACUCCCCCGCUGCUCCACUGCCGCCGACGAGCACCCCAACGUCGAAACUGCGAUCUCCGGCGAGCUCCUCUGUUUUCAGUUCGCGGCCAGGGACUUCGCGCGACAAUUUGAUGUUCUCCAGGGGUCUAAUUGCACAGACUGUGACUCAGGUGAAUAGUGCUAUAAGGACUUGUUUGUAGAUGUUUUGUUGAAUCUUUGAAAAUUCAUAUCU